Molecule: ribosomal RNA, 337 nt
Filed under: Pheidole caltrop
Lineage: Eukaryota; Metazoa; Arthropoda; Insecta; Hymenoptera; Formicidae
Description: partial 12S ribosomal RNA
Source: RNAcentral
UUAUAAAUAAAAUUUGAUUAAAUAGAGAUUAAAUGAAAUCAUUAAAUUUAAAUAAUUUGGCGGUAUUUUAAAUAGUUAGAGGAAUUUGUUAAUUAAAUGAUACUCCACGAAUGGAUUGUCCUAAUAAAUUUUUAUGUAUUGUUGUAAAAAAAUUAUUUUAUAAGAAUAAUAAUUAUUAAAUUUGAUGAAAUUAGAAUUCAAAUCAAAAUGUAGAAUUGUUAGGUUUCAAUGAAUUACAAUUUAAAUUAAUAAUAGAAUUAAUUUUUUAAUUAAAUUAGUGAAAAAGGAUUUAAAAGUAAAUUAAAAAAAUAUUUAAAUUGAAAUAAUAAUUAAAUCG